This is a small nucleolar RNA of Cynara cardunculus var. scolymus (artichoke), 86 nucleotides long. The record is from RefSeq and is a predicted model, not a curated record. NCBI's taxonomy places the organism in Eukaryota, Viridiplantae, Streptophyta, Magnoliopsida, Asterales, Asteraceae.
UGCAAUCAAUGAUGCAAAAUCAUGAUUUAAACUGAUGUUUUUCUGUGAUUAACACAAAUUAUCACCAUCUUUCGGCUGAGAUUGCU